This 805-nucleotide ribosomal RNA is filed under the name uncultured bacterium. RNAcentral describes it as "bacterial SSU rRNA". It matches the Rfam family "Bacterial small subunit ribosomal RNA", at positions 355 to 1173 of the family's 1533-position model. The record is from RNAcentral.
GUGGGGAUGUUGCACAAUGGGCAGCAAGCCUGAUGCAGCGACGCCGCAUGAGGGAUGAAGGCCUCGGGUUGUAAACCUCUUUCAGCAGGGAAGAAGCGCAAGUGACGGUACCAGCAGAAGAAGCACCGGCUAACUACGUGCCAGCAGUCGUGGUAAUACGUAGGGCGCAAGCGUUGUCCGGAAUUAUUGGGCGUAAAGAGCUCGUAGGCGGUUUGUCGCGUCUGCUGUGAAAACUCGAGGCUCAACCUCGGGCUUGCAGUGGGUACGGGCAGACUAGAGUGCGGUAGGGGAGACUGGAAUUCCUGGUGUAGCGGUGGAAUGCGCAGAUAUCAGGAGGAACACCGAUGGCGAAGGCAGGUCUCUGGGCCGCAACUGACGCUGAGGAGCGAAAGCAUGGGGAGCGAACAGGAUUAGAUACCCUGGUAGUCCAUGCCGUAAACGUUGGGCACUAGGUGUGGGGCUCAUUCCACGAGUUCCGUGCCGCAGCAAACGCAUUAAGUGCCCCGCCUGGGGAGUACGGCCGCAAGGCUAAAACUCAAAGAAAUUGACGGGGGCCCGCACAAGCGGCGGAGCAUGCGGAUUAAUUCGAUGCAACGCGAAGAACCUUACCAAGGCUUGACAUACACCGGAAACUUCCAGAGAUGGUUGCCCCGCAAGGUCGGUGUACAGGUGGUGCAUGGUUGUCGUCAGCUCGUGUCGUGAGAUGUUGGGUUAAGUCCCGCAACGAGCGCAACCCUCGUCCUAUGUUGCCAGCGGGUCAUGCCGGGGACUCAUAGGAGACUGCCGGGGUCAACUCGGAGGAAGG